GAGAGAUGUAUUAAUCAUAGAAAGAUGUCAAAGUGACGUGACAUUACAUUGAGUGCGGCACAUAGUAAACGCCAUGUGUGUGGUAUUUACGAGAGGUAUGAGUAUGAUGCAACGUAUUACCCUCAAUUUUUAAGGUUUCGAUAUCUACUCUAGUUUGUCUCAACACAUCUCACUCCGUGAAUCUAUUCAAUUUCUCUUUCUUGUUCUUCUUGUUUUGCUUACCAAACAUUCAUCACCUGGAUCUCAGCUGCCGUUUUAUUUUCGUGAAGUUAACAAAUCAAUGGUUCUGCAUGUUUGAAUUUGUGGUCAUACUUGUCCAGCUUGUUCAUUAUUUUUUCUCACGUUCUUUUAUUGCUGCAUCAUAUUCUAUUUGCAUCCAUUUUAUAUCCGUUUCAUACGUGCUUUUGAAUGAACCAACAUUUCAUUACAGCAUCCGAAAUGGCCCUCAGAGCUUUCAGGAUGGUGAUAUUGUGGUCAUUCAUGUUCCAGUAUCUGAAGAAACUACACUUGA
This 511-nucleotide long non-coding RNA is filed under the name Mytilus galloprovincialis (Mediterranean mussel). Lineage: Eukaryota; Metazoa; Mollusca; Bivalvia; Mytilida; Mytilidae. The record is from RNAcentral.